Molecule: long non-coding RNA, 4931 nt
Organism: Bubalus bubalis (water buffalo)
Lineage: Eukaryota; Metazoa; Chordata; Mammalia; Artiodactyla; Bovidae
Exons: 3
Source: RefSeq, a predicted model, not a curated record
CACCGACUCAAUGGACAUGAAUCUGAGCAGACUCCAGGAGAUAGCGGAGGGCAGGGAAGCCUGGUGUGCUGCAGUCCAUGGGGUUGCAAGGAGUCAGAUACAACUUAGCAACUGAAGAACAACAAUAGGUAAAGAGGUGGUUAGGGCAGGGACCCUCCAAACGCACAAGCAUCAGGUCACCCCGAGCGCUCCGUCCCAUAAACCUGGACUGCUGGGCUGUGUUUCUGGUUCAGCGGGUCUAAGCCUAAGGAUCUGCAUUUCUGACAAGUGACCACGUGACGCCAAUGCUCCUGGUGCAGGGACCACACUUGGACGUGGGAAGCGUCAUUAGCUAGUCUGCUCCGACUCCACAAAGCCGUGUGCCAUGAGCCUCACUCAGCAUUUGUUCUAGAAAGGCAGAACAAAAACCAGGUCCCGCCAGCUGAAGCCCUUCAUCAAAAAUAAACUUCAGGCUUGUAUCCAACCCAACCCAAGUGAUUUAUCCAACCCAACCCACUUUAUUUCCUCAAGUUAUUUUUGCUUCUUGUGAAUUAUUUUUUUAAGGACAAAAAGGCAAAGAAUUCUUGAAGAGUGCUAACUCGGUCUCUGAAGUAUAAGGAUGACUUCUGAGACAAGUCACGUCAAACACAAAGUAAAACAAAUCAAACUAAGCCCAAGAUAUAAACAACUUCAAAAUAAUUCAGGGAGGAGGAAGGGAGAAGUCAAACCAGAGCUCCGUGACUCAGCCCAUGGGGACCCACGGGGUCCAACUCCACAGGGAAAAGUGCCACUUAUCAGAGUCUCUGAAAGUUGCAACAGGGUUAGGUUGAUGCCACCACUCUUUGUUAGAACAUUUCAUUCUUUCCUCUUAUCUCUAAGGCCCCUUACAUUGAAUGGAAACAUUUUAAGGAAGAAAAGGACUAGGAAGAUUAAAUCUCAAAAUCGGCGGAAAGGCCGGCCAGUUGUGAGAGAGGCAGAGGACUGGGUCCUCCCGGCUCACUUGUCCCCAGAUAUGACACCAGGGCUACAGACGACCCAGCAGAUGGCAGAGAAGCCGGCAUGAGGAGACAGGAUGGAAUUAACGUCUUAGUUUCAAGGGCGAAGUUAACCUUCAAUGUUUAAAUAAAAAUAGGAUUUGGACUCAACUACUGGAUGGAUAUUCUAGAAACACUCCCCAGAGCAAGACCUCAGCAAAGACCUUUUCGGACUCUGGCUGGACCCUCUGUCCUGACCUUCCUUCCCUAUGCAAAGCCCCUCACCCCCAAACUUCAAGUAAGGACAAGCUCCCACAGCAGCGUGUGUGGGGAGACAGAGACAGCUGACUCAGGACACGCUGGAGACGUAAGGCUGAAGAGAUGACCGAUGGCAGGGAAGGAAACCGCGCCCCCCAGACCCCUGAGCAUAUCGUGAGCAGCCCCCGAGCUCAGCGCUCUGCCCUCAUCACCUCCUGUCACGUGGCCUCCCUUUCACAGAGGUUCCUGCCCACCCAUCUCUCCUUUAUGAGGUGCAGAGGCUCGGGGAGAGGAAGCGAUGGGCUCUCCCAGCACGGGGAGUGUCGACUGUGUUCCUAGCGCAGGAGCCGUCUGGUCAUCAACGGCUGCUCGUCUUUCUGCUCAGCUCACCUGGGCUCUGGGAGCUGAGUAAAACCAAGACCAAGUGCUCGGGUGGACAGGUCAUCUCUCUGCUCCAGAUGACUUCCCACCUGGUGCUCCGGGGCCCACCCAGCACCACGCGAAAGCUUUGUGAGAUGCACAGACUUGGGGUGGGGUGGCCUUCACACCGGAGAACUGCUUUUUCUCUGCCUCCGCCUCUGCUUUUUGUUUUUUUAAGGGAUCAUGGAAACAGCCUUUGAUAAAUACACUUCAUACUCUGAAUGAUCAAGCCGGAAGGGCCAUCAGGCUGCUGUUGUCUGAGGCGAGGGUCUCACCUCUCUCCAGCUCACCAUGACGCUUACCUUGCACUUUUCACGUAACUUACAGCAGGUGUGAUGCUUCGCCGCUGCCCCCACCCCUGCCCCUGAAAUCUGAAAGCCCUGACCUCAACUCUUCAAAGCUGUACGAGCCAUGUUCUGAACGCUCUUCAGAAGACGCCCAAGUAGAAGGUUACGCAGUGCUAUGAAUCGCGGCGCGGUGGGGCACACCCCUGGUGGCUCAGUGGUAACAAAUCCGCCUGUAACGCAGGGUGUAAUGGGUCUGGGCUGGGAAGCUCCCAGGUGCCUCGGGGCAGCGAAGCCCGUGCUCCACAACUGCUGAAGCCCAUGCAGCUAGAGCCCGUUCUCCGCAACAAAGAAGCCAGCACGGUGACAAACCCCAGCACCGCCCUACAGGGUAGCCCUGGCUCGCCGCAGCCAGAGGGAGCCCAUGCGCGGCAAGGAAGACCCAGCGCAGCCACAAAUAAAAAAGAAAUAGAAUUAAAAAGAACCAUUCAGAGAGCAUGAAGUACACAAACAUACAGUCAGAUACGGCUAUUAAGGCCUGAGAAAAACUGCCUUGAGAAAACCCCGCUGGCGAAAUUAAUAAGGAUUUCCCCCAUUUCGGAAGAGGGUGCUUUCGACUGUAAGGAUGCACCAUUUAGCAGAAGCUUUAUCUUUUCAACAGAGACAGGGAGAUUUCUGUCAGAUAUGGCCCAUAACUGAAUAUGAAUCCUUAAUGGACAUUAGCGAGAAGGAAAACACCACUGCGAGCCUCUCCACUGACCGGACGCCCCCACGAUGACAGGUGUGUCAGGAUCCGGCUGUAGGAGGCCCAUCCCAGGGAGAAAUGGGCACCCCUCUCCACCGUCCUCUCCGCAGAGACAUGGACGGAGAUGCUGAGUGAGGCCCCUACGAGCUCAUCAACACGGAGAUGUGUGCGAAUACCAAUACUGCGUGAAAGCAUUUUACCCACUAAAAAGGUUAAAGAAAGGGACUUUUAACCAGGCCCCACCCCAAGCCCUUGGGAAAAAAAGAACACAGGCCACCAGAACGGGAAGAAAAGGAGGAAUUCUGAAAACAGAAGUACCACUGGUUUGAGGAUCUGGGGGACGAAACAGCACAGCUCUCGUGACUGGACUUACUGGCCUGAUGAGUUCUGGGGAUGCAGGGUGGAUGUUUGUGGUGUGGACACGUGGCAGCCCCCCAACCCUGACCGGGGUGAGGACCUACUGUUUACACCUGCCCCCUCCUCCCCCGCCCCCGGGCCCCCAGCUCAGGGAGGUUCGGGCUGCCACAUCACGUCCUGUGACUCCGCACCAGGAAGGGGAUGUUAAUCGUCUUUUUUUUUUAACCCAAGUCUCUGGCUUUUCUAUUUCACACCUCUCUUGAAUAUGUAAAACAAGUAACUGUGCCUCCUGUUCUUCGCUCUGCUCCGUAAAGACCACGAGAAGCACUUCUGGCUGGCGGCCAGCAAUAGCGCCAGGCCCAAGUCCACCACCCAGGCUGGACUCUCACACGCCCACUGGCCGAGGGCUCUUACCUGGGGCUCCGGUGUACAUGAUGGAGAAGACAUUGAUGGCGAUGGUGGCGGCGUAGAACACGGGAAGCGCCCGGAGGCCGUUGGGAACAGGGUCCUCCUACGGGGCAUGCAGGAACCCAGUGCCCUGACCAGGGAUCAAACCCUCAACCCCUGCAUUGGAAGCAUGGACUCCUAACCACGGGACCACAGGGAAGUCCUCAGAGAACCUCUUCUUAACACACGAUGACAGCGGUCUCACCGAGCCCCGUCUCCUUUCCUCCUCCUUUCUGUCCUUCCUUCCAUCCACCCAUCACCUGUCACCCGUCCAAGCAGCCUUUUUCUCUCUCAAUAGACACUCAGCCGGCGGCUCGGAAGGGCUGGGCAGAGCUGGGCGCUGCCUACACAUGUGAACAGGGAGUCACGGUGUCCACUCUCAACAGACCUCACAAAGAGUGAACAGGGAGCCAAGCAGGAAAUAAAUCCCUGCACGACGAUGUGAGAGUGCAGUGAUGAGAAGGCAGGGAGCUUGUGGGAACACAAAGGGAGGAGCCCAGUGGAAGCUGGGGUGGGAGGCGUGGCUUCCUAGGAAGGGACACCUGGGGGCAGAGGAGGGGCAGGAGCCCGCCUGGCAGGGAUGCCCGGGGCAGCAGAAAUAAAAGGGGGAGGCUUACCAGGCACCUGCCAAGAUGCUAACAGGUCCCGGCACAGCAGGAGCCCAGGAGAAGGGAUGGUCAGUGUGCGAUUACCCAAGAAACCUCAGCCUGACUCGAAGAAGAGCCACGUAAGGACACAGCUCAAGGCAGGCACGUCCAAUGGGCUUGGCGUGUGCCGAGUGACCAAGGGCAAGCAGCAGGGCUUAGAAAGCGCUGCAACAACCCCUGACAUUCCCCUAGAACACUGAUCUCAGUAAGUUUUCAUUUUCAUCUCAUUUUAUUUUUGAUUAAAAAAAAUGUACCCCCAUAGGUGUAGUUCCUUCUUUUUAUCUUGUCCUCAAGGGCAGGGAAAAAAAAAAUCCAGUGUCUCAUGCUUCCCUUCUCCAUUAGAAAACAGAAGAUACCUUCCAUCUGGGUAAAAAAAUUCUCCAGUUGUUUUUAGUGCUUGGCAGUUUCAAAAUCGUAACACUAUCUCACUCUAUUCUGUUUACCGGUCACAAAACCAUUGUCUUUCCUUUUUGAGGUGUGAGCAUUAGUGCCCGGGAAUGCUGACCAGUGAACUAAGUCACAGGGCAGGGCACCUUGAGUCCAGUCCUGGUUCCGGGGGGCCCCCGGGCACUCCACCUGAGUCCUCAGCCUGCUUUAUAAUAAUGUCUGAUUCCAACAUUGGGGGCUGUGCCUUAGUAAUUAUCCCCCUGAGCCCUCUCACUAUUAAUUUUUAUUGAGCAGAACCAAACUUAGUUCUAAAACUUAACUAAAAAAGAUAAUAAACUCGCUUACCUUUUUUAAGAUGAACAUUCUGAUCAGUACAAACAGCACGCCAGACAUGAAACCAGACAACAGUGGAGAUAUAAACCAAGAAGCAACU